This 492-nucleotide ribosomal RNA is filed under the name uncultured bacterium. RNAcentral's name for it is "partial 16S ribosomal RNA". It matches the Rfam family "Bacterial small subunit ribosomal RNA", at positions 28 to 523 of the family's 1533-position model. The record is from RNAcentral.
GACGAACGCUGGCUGCGUGCUUAACACAUGCAAGUCGAACGCUGAAACCCUGGUGCUUGCACCGGGGUGGAUGAGUGGCGAACGGGUGAGUAACACGUGAGUAACCUGCCCCCGACUUCGGGAUAAGCCCGGGAAACUGGGUCUAAUACCGGAUAUGAGCGCCCCUCGCAUGAGGGAUGCUGGAAAGUCUUUUCGGUUGGGGAUGGGCUCGCGGCCUAUCAGUUUGUUGGUGAGGUAAUGGCUCACCAAGACGACGGCGGGUAGCCGGCCUGAGAGGGCGACCGGCCACACUGGGACUGAGACACGGCCCAGACUCCUACGGGAGGCAGCAGUGGGGAAUAUUGCACAAUGGGGGAAACCCUGAUGCAGCGACGCAGCGUGCGGGAUGACGGCCUUCGGGUUGUAAACCGCUUUCAGCAGGGAAGAAGCCCCUUGGGGUGACGGUACCUGCAGAAGAAGUACCGGCUAACUACGUGCCAGCAGCCGCUGUAA